UUUUUCUUUUUCUGGUUUUGUCUGUGUUCCUUUUCACACCUGGUUUCAAGUGCUUUGAUUUCUGUGGGUAGAUAGGGCACCUGCUACCUGCCGUAAUUCGUGCAGGAUUAAGUUUGUGAGUAUUAGCGUUCAGUAUUCUAUGCGGUUUAUUGUUUUCGCAUUGACGCAUGUGUAGGUAGUGUCGGAACUGUGGUUGUUCCUCCGUGUACUGACACGAGUUUGUUUUCCUUCGAGCGAGUAGUUUGGACAUUCAUCUGGGCCAAUUUUGUAUUGGUGGACUAUGUGUACAGAUCUCUACAUUAAACACGCUUCUCAAAGAAAAUCCCUGCUCUCCUGCGCCUGACUCCUACACCUCUCACCGAGACGCACUUUAUCACAAAGGACACAUGGCAAAAUGCUUCUGCUGUUUCUGAGUCUCGGUUUGUUCACUUCUAAUGUCCAGUCAGAAAAACAAGGGGUUAAUGUAACGUGUGAAAAUCAAUCGGUUGUAGCAGGACAGAACCACAACCUGACAUGUAGAGUGGAAUACAGUGAUGUAGGUCAGAAUAAUCUGGGAUGUAAAACUACAAAUUAUUUCUGGAAACAUAAAUCAAAAUCUCCAAUACGAAAUUGUGAUUGUACAAAAGAUUGUAACACUACGAUAACAACCAACACCUACUUUUGUGAGAUCAAAAAUGUUACCAAAGCUGAUGAGGGAAACUACACUUUUACCAUUAACACAGACUGUGGCAACGGACAUGGCACAUUGAAUGUUUCAUUGAGAAAUGAAAAACAAGCGUUUCUGGGAUCAUCAGGUCACCUAUCGUCAGUAUCAUCACUGUUCUGGGUGUUCUACUGUUUCGCAUCUUAAGACUUAAUAGUUCCUUGAGAAACAAUGACAAAGCUACCAGAGAGGCCCUAAACCAGAAGCCUGCAUAACUUUCAGUCUGGAGGAGCUGUGUGUGUUCUACUAUCCUUGUGGGGACAGAAAUAUCUCAUUUACACAAGUAGUCAAACUCCUAAGUCAAUAAAUACUUUGUGGAAGCUCCUUUUGCAUUGAUUACAGCUGUGAGUCUGUCUGGGUACGUCUCUAAGUCAAUAAUUUGUAGAAGCUCCUUCUGCAUUGAUUACAGCUGUGAGUCUGUCUGGGUACGUCUCUAAGUCAAUAAUUUGUAGAAGCUCCUUCUGCAUUGAUUACAGCUGUGAGUCUGUCUGGGUACGUCUCUAAAAGCUUUCCACAUUUGGAUUGUUCAAAAUGUUCCCAUUAUUCUUUUCUAAAUUCUUCAAGCUCUGUCAAAUUGGCUGUUGAUCAUAGCUAGAGAACCAUUUUCAGAUCUUGCCAUAGAUUGACUGUCUUCUUGGCAACUCUAGUGUAAAUUUGGCCAUGGUUUAUUGUCCAGUUGAAAGGUGAAUUCAUCUCCCAGCAUCUAGUGUAUUGGAUUUGCCUAAAAAAUAACACUUUGUAUUCAGGACAAAAACUGAAUUACUUUGCCAUGUUUUUUGCAGUACUACAAUAGUGCCUUGUUUCAAACAUGAUGCAUGUUUUGGAAUAUUUUUAUUCUGUACAGGCUUCCUUUUCACUCUGUCAAUUAUUAUAAUUUAUUUACCUUUAUUUAACUAGACAGGUCAGUUAUGAACAAAUUCUUAUUUACAAUGACAGUCUACCGGGGAACACUGGCUUAACUGCCUUGUUCGGAUGUUUACGUUGUCAGCUCAGGGAUUCAAUCCAGGAACCUAUUGGUUAAUGGCACAACACUCUAACCACUAGGCAACCUGCCGCCCCAUCAAACUAGUCAAGGUUAGUAUUGUGGAGUAACUACAAUGUGUUUGAUCCAUCCUCAGUGUUCUCCUAUCACAGCCAUUAAACUCUGUAACUGUUUUAAAGUCACCAUUGGCCUCAUUGUGAAAUUCAUGAGCGGCUUCCUUCCUGUCUGACAACUGAGUUAGGAAGGACACCUGUAUCUUUGUAGUGACAGGAUGUAUUGAUACA
Oncorhynchus kisutch (coho salmon) is the source of this 1969-nucleotide long non-coding RNA. RefSeq lists it as uncharacterized. The record is from RefSeq and is a predicted model, not a curated record. The transcript has 4 exons. NCBI's taxonomy places the organism in Eukaryota, Metazoa, Chordata, Actinopteri, Salmoniformes, Salmonidae.